Molecule: ribosomal RNA, 355 nt
Filed under: uncultured bacterium
Lineage: Bacteria
Description: bacterial SSU rRNA
Rfam family: Bacterial small subunit ribosomal RNA
Source: RNAcentral
GGACCCGCACAAGUAGUGGAGCAUGUGGUUUAAUUCGAAGAUACGCGCAGAACCUUACCAACACUUGACAUGUUCGUCGCGACUUUAAGAGAUUAAAGUUUUCGGUUCGGCCGGACGAAACACAGGUGCUGCAUGGCUGUCGUCAGCUCGUGUCGUGAGAUGUUGGGUUAAGUCCCGCAACGAGCGCAACCCUCACUUUUAGUUGCCAUCAUUUAGUUGGGCACUCUGAAAGAACUGCCAGUGAUAAGCUGGAGGAAGGUGGGGGAUGACGUCAAGUCCUCAUGGCCCUUACGUGUUGGGCUACACACGUGCUACAAAUGGUAUCAUACAACAGGAAAGCGAAAACGGCGACGUU